UACGUAGGGUCCAAGCGUUGUCCGGAAUCAUUGGGCGUAAAGCGCGUGUAGGCGGCCCGGUAAGUCCGCUGUGAAAGUCCAGGGCUCAACCCUGGGAUGCCGGUGGAUACUGUCGGGCUCGAGUCCGGAAGAGGCGAGUGGAAUUCCUGGUGUAGCGGUGAAAUGCGCAGAUAUCAGGAGGAACACCAAUGGCGAAGGCAGCUCGCUGGGACGUGACUGACGCUGAGACGCGAAGGCGUGGGGAGCGAACGGG
Molecule: ribosomal RNA, 253 nt
Filed under: uncultured bacterium
Lineage: Bacteria
Description: partial 16S ribosomal RNA
Rfam family: Bacterial small subunit ribosomal RNA
Source: RNAcentral